RNAcentral lists this ribosomal RNA (253 nucleotides) under uncultured bacterium. RNAcentral describes it as "partial 16S ribosomal RNA". It matches the Rfam family "Bacterial small subunit ribosomal RNA", at positions 524 to 776 of the family's 1533-position model. The record is from RNAcentral.
UACGUAGGGUGCGAGCGUUAAUCGGAAUUACUGGGCGUAAAGCGUGCGCAGGCGGUUCGUGAUGUCUGGUGUGAAAGCCCCGGGCUUAACCUGGGAAUUGCAUUGGAAACUAGCGGGCUGGAGUGUGGCAGAGGGGGGUGGAAUUCCACGUGUAGCAGUGAAAUGCGUAGAGAUGUGGAGGAACACCGGUGGCGAAGGCGGGAUCCUGGGCCAGUACUGACGCUGAGGAGCGAAAGCGUGGGGAGCAAACAGG